GGCACGCCCGAAGUCGUUACUCUAACCUUAUUGGAGGAGGGCGCCGAAGGCAGGGCUAGUGACUGGGGUGAAGUCGUAACAAGGUAGCCGUACCGGAAGGUGUGGCUGGAUCACCUCCUUUUAGGGAGACCCAAUUCAGUUAACAGUUGACAGUUAACAGUUAACAGUUAACAAAAAAACUGCUUACUGAAUUCAUCCCAAGGUCGUGCAAGGGAAAAAAAGCCAAAGCUUUCAAACUAUGAAGUCGGUUCGGAUGAAUCAGCCGUCAGCCAAAAACUGAUAACUGAUAACUGACAACUGAUAACUGACAAGGGCUAUUAGCUCAGGUGGUUAGA
RNAcentral lists this unclassified non-coding RNA (335 nucleotides) under uncultured cyanobacterium. RNAcentral's name for it is "partial contains 16S ribosomal RNA and 16S-23S ribosomal RNA intergenic spacer". The stretch from base 1 to 121 matches the Rfam family "Bacterial small subunit ribosomal RNA", at positions 1414 to 1533 of the family's 1533-position model. Lineage: Bacteria; Bacillati; Cyanobacteriota. The record is from RNAcentral.